UGUUUACACAAUAAUUCAAAAUCUUUGAUGCGUUGUUUACACUGCUAGCAGGUGAGCAUUUUCUCGAGAAGAAGUGUAAUGGCGCUUGUUGCUCAACAUUGACAAUAACGAGGCAGUGUUCACUUCCUGGGUGUUCCAAACAGAAUCAGUUUCUGUUUAAAAAACUACUUUCAAAGAGAGAUAAAAUAUUUGGAUACUGUGAAAGUAAAGUGCAUCAAUGAAAAACACUUCAAGAAGCACAAAAAACAUAAUUUAAUGUUAUAGUGUCAAUUAUCAGCCCGAGAAUGCCAAAAUAUCUUGAAUCUAAGGAAGAAAGUAUAACCAAACAUGAUUCUCUCUCGUUUCUUUGGUUGAAUUUAUUUGCUGUUUGUCUGAAUCUUGGUGAUGGAUACAUUUCCACUGUCAUCGCGAACGCGUGUCAUUUCCAGCACUAUCAGUGAUAUUUAUCAUCUUACUAUUACUUCAUUACAACUAAGCUGUAUAUCCCGUAGAUAGACGCUGCUAAUCUGGACCAAAUCUCUGAUAAUGUGUAUUUAUGGAGGACCCGAGGAUUAGCACCCCUAAGACAAUAUGUUUGACUUUUGAUACGGUCGUUUUCUGAUUACUUGUUUUGCAAACAAACCUGCACAAGUUCCACAAAGACAUGGACAAGGGGAUUAGUAUCUAAACAUCGUCAGUCCAAAUUAGUUUAACGCGAUAAUUUUGAAACUUACACCACCCUCUCCCCCGACCCAGGAGAGAGUGCUAUGGUGGCGAGUUUACUCUGACUUCAUCAAUUAAUAAUUAGACCGUCGGCGGGGGCCUCCUAUCACCCUCAUCAGACGGACUGACGGCCAAACCGAGUUUAUGUAAGGGAAUCAAAAUAUUGGUAUAUCAUAUCAUUGUGGUACGGCACCCAAGAUAAGGGACGUUCAUGGACAAAAACACACUGUCACUUUUAAUUCUCUUAAUUGCACAAUCACCUUCAUCCAGGUUUUGAACAGCGAGGAAAUUCGAUCCAGCUUGGAGAGUUGGGGUUUCCUAUCCAUCCAUAUUGGGGAGAUGAAAUUUCUAAUUAUCGCGAAAAUGUGAGACGAAGACUUGUCGAGCGAGCACUUAAAUAUAUUUGUUGACUGUUACAUCAUACGACAGAGAGCUGUCAGAGGAAGCUUAUAACAAUGCACGGCCCCUCUCCUACACAGAAAAUAUACACUCAAAACAAUUAUAACACAUCGCACAUCUCGAGCCUAGAAGUAGUCACUAUUGUUUAAAAGCAAAACCUUAUUUGAUCGAUGCAUCAGAUAAGCAUUGAACUUUUUUUCAUAAUCAUGAUCAGUGUGGAAAAAAUUCCCCUCUUUUAUCGGUGGGUAGUGAAGCCCAUUUUUCUGCUCUGCGAAGGUAAAGAGGGAUGGGGCGUGUUGCACGACCAUCCACCCGUGGUCUGAUGUUUACGAUUACCUAAGCAUGUGUUGCUGUUUGCUACAACGAACACAGGUUCCCGACUACCUCCAAUAAAAAUAUAUUUAUUUUUAACAGAACGUAACAAAAUGUGCGUACAACCAGUAACCAUUGUGGCAAAAGAAUCUUACUGCUUGAACAAUUCGUUUAUUUAUUUUUUUACCUCUAAAUAGAAGCAAUUAAGCAACUAUUUUGUGUUCAAUCUACGCACGACGUAAUAAUCUGCAUUGUGCAAUCCGCCAUGUUUGUUUGUUUUCUUUUCUUUUUUUCGUGGAAUGUUUGAUUUCUCGGGUACAUUAUUUACUGGAAUUGUGCUUAUUAAAUUGACACAGGUCGGGCACUUUUUUCACUUUUUCCGCAGAACUUGAUAGAAUCCUACGUGACAGUGUGUCAUGUUAUGUAAAGAUGCAUUAAGAUUAAAAUUAUUGUAGGAAACAAAAUAAAACCUUGACAAGGACAAGAAGCAGUGAUCUUUGAAGGGCAUGGAUCUUCAUUGACAGCUUGAAAACAAAGGUAAGUUGAACUACUUUCUACUAAAUCUCAGAAAGUGCCAAAUGUGUCGUUGAGACAAUGUCGUUUGCGAAUUCUGUCCUAGAUAAGAAACAAUGUCAAAAAUUCCUAUGCAAAAGUGAGAACUUCAUUUGCAUUAUGGCACUGAUAUAAUAGACUUUUGUUUGUCCUUCGAUUAUUUUGCAAAUCAGUCAAACGGAAAAAAGAGCAGACAAAAGACUUCUUUCUCUACAUGCCGCGUCUUUAAUAUGUAACAGACGUAACAUAAAAAAAUGUAUAACAAUACAGGAACGAUUUCAUCUAAAUCAACUCCAAAAGAUUUUUAAUGUCAACGAGGCAAAAAAAGUGUCGUUUUAUUAGAAGUAAACCCCAAACCAAAGCAUCGUCAGUGCUCGAUUUAGAGUAGAGAUGAAGUUAACUAUACCCUCGAGAGAUUAGACGAAAAUGGAGGCAAGCUUUCCGAGGUGCGAGCAAGUUCCCGUAAAGUAACGAGAGAAAAAACAUGCAUAAUUAAGAGACCGAUUCCGAAGCUGAUAUAGGAGUAUUCCGGACAGUUUAUGGGAUAUGGUUGUCCCAUGGGAUACGCUUAGCGACUAGCGUUUUCAAUGUCUGCAGAUUUGCAUAAUAUUCAUUGCCAUUUUGAAUGUAAUAGUGGGUUUGUAUAUCGCAGUAGUGAGAAAUCAUUGCAAUGCACAUCGGCAAAAACUCGUGAUACAGAUCUCGCGAGAAUCCGGGAGUGACAAAAGCAAUUUACGCCUAUAAACACUAUGCGAACGCCAUCUUCCAACCAAGUAGUGAGACAUGCAUUAUUUUUCGAAAAACAAUGGUAAUUUGUCAUGCAAAAUGACGAUCAUGUCCAAAACUUUCCACUCAAAAAUUAACGGUAUUUUGCAUUCAAAUUGUCUUUCAAUAUGCACAAGAGACUUUCCAUUAACUGAGAUUGUUUUCUGUAUUCGACACAGACCAUCUUGUGCCAGCUCGGCGAGUCUCUAAAUUGAAACAGAAAUAUCAAUAUUUUGGGUCUCACAUCUGAUCUUGCGACGCAUUACGGGCGUGAGAGAGGGUAAUCAAACUUUAUGGUCCAACUUAAAGAGGACUGACUACAACUAAAUCUUUGAAAGAAAAUUACAAUGAAUAGCUGGUUGGACAUUCCAGUACAGAUUGCAUUACUAUAGCGGAAGGGGUCGGUGGUUUGACAGAGGCACGCGGUGAAGAGCAUGAAAAUGGCGCAUCAAUGACAAAAAAUGCGUGUGGUGGUGUCGACUAGCUUCGAUCACGUGACUCCCAAUCUCAUCAUCUUAAUUAGAUACUAUUUUAAGCAUUUGCCGAGUUUACUCCAUACGUCAAUGGAGUUCUUGUUUUGAUACGUAGAGGAUUGAAAAUUAUUGUUGUCUGACGACAGUGAAUAAUAACAGUGGUAACUUUGAUAGUUCCUUAACACGUCUUCUACGGUCUAUCUCGCAUACAGUGCAGGAAAAACACGGACAACUGAUGGUUAUAUAUCGACGUAAGCUACCACCAAGCACCCGAUGUCUGCCGCCGUAGUCAAGCAGACGACAGGCAACCCCAUGUGAUAAACAUCCGGGACACCCUCAACAAACUGACAGAAAUGUCACGUGGGACAACAAGCAGACGACAGCACCAACGCUGUUUAUCAGGGGUGCUUGAUCGAACAGGUUUCGACAGAGUUGUAGAACCUGAGCGCAGAGAAAAAAAUUAGAUGUUAAAAAAAGUCCCAUAGAUUGCUUAUAGUAUUCCAAAGUAUCAAGUUUAUAUCUUUAAUAUUUUUAAACCUUAAACUACUCGAUAUCUAUUUCUUUUUUUGCUAUUCUGAUACAUGUAUAGAAUAUGUUUAUAUUAUUAUUACAUGUAUCCCCAUAACCUACUGCAUUUAAUUUUUUUUGCAUAUUUGGCUGCACAUAAAAUCUUGUAUGUAAAGGUUUAAAACGCUUGGUUUUUUUUCAAUUUUCAAAUUGAAUAACUUUUAUCAAUCGAUACUUUACAUAAAUCAUUAUUUACAAGUGAUAUUUUAUAUUUUUUGUAAGAAAAAAUUAUCUUUAAGUUUUGUUUUUGUAAUUUACUUUAAAUUCGAAUAAAGUCAUGAUUUUAUGCUAUUUUUUUUUUACUUCAAAAAUUGCUGUACUUUACAAUAAUUCUGCAUGAAACUUUAACCUUUAUUAUAAAUAAAAUUAAAACCAAAAUUUUUUGGGGGAAAAUAGAGAUUUUGUGCUCAAUGGAAUAUAUAGAAAAUCAAUUAUUGUACAGAAAGACAAUGAUGUUAUUUCAAUUAAAUCUGAGCAUCUAAAUGUUCCCUCUCGUAUUCUUUUAAACAUAAAAAUAUUUACAGAAAGUUUAUUAACCAUUAUUUUUCCCAGUAAAGCAGUUUAUAACAAUUUUACAACAAACUGAUAGGAAUAAAAAUUGCAGCUUAUGGUGCUUUAAACGAAAAUUUCUAUUCUGCACAUACAUUUAUAAGUAAAAUAAUAAUUAGUAUAUAGCUUCUAAUGCGUACUCCCCUUUCACUUAUUUUACAUUCAAAUUGUUAAACGCAUUUAACUUUCACGGAAAAAAAUAACAAUGUUUUGGAAGAACAGAGUUUAUUGUAAGUAUAAUUUAAUAAAUUACAUUGAUUAAUUCAUUAUUUACGCUAUACAGCUUUGUAAAACACUAAUAAUACGAUUAUGAGAAUAAAGACACUAUAUAAGGAGUGGGAUGGGGGUGGAAUCAUAUUUUUAAAUAUUUUCAAGUAAAAUUCACAUGCACUGAUUUAAGGUUAUAUUAUGAAAUAUUUGCAUUUCAUUAAUUAUUCGGCAACAUAAAUGUUCGCACCAUUUUUUUUAAAAAAGUAAGUAUUUCUAUAAGUUACUAACAUAUAAUUUUUGUAAUUCGUUUAUAUCAAUUUUUAGUUCAUUAUUUAUGCAACUAUAUUCUCACUGAAAAUCAAUGAUCAUUUACAGUAAAGCAAUAACCAUAGAGGGACAGCAAAGGUAUACAUUUUCAUAGGAAGCUAAUCAAAUACACAAAUAUUUAUUUAAAGUAAAGCUUUUCUGAAAUAUUUAUUGCAGGAAUACGUCUGAUUUUCAAUUUCGUUUUUUUUCGUUUCACACAAAAGACAAAUUUUUCGCAAGGUUUCUUUGUGGUUAGUGUCCUUAUAUACGCGUAAUGUAAAUAAAACUUUUGUGUCUCAUUAUACAUAUAAACAUCAAUAUAACUAGCAUUUGGAAAAAAAAAGUUUUCAAUGCCUACCUGUACAUUGCCAAAGACUGCAGGUUGCUUGACCAAUCGAAUGUCCAUUCCAUGUCACGUGUUUUUAGGUAAUUCUUUGGAAAAUAAUAACUUAAAAGUAAUGAAAAAGUCACUUUUAUGUAUCGCUGAAUAACUAGAUAAUCUGCAUUUCAGAGAACCUUAAAAGGAGAACAACCUGAGAAUAUAUUUCUUAUCGAGAUCAAAGACUUUCAAUCGGCAGACAUUUCGAUUCCUGAUUUUUAGGACAAAUGAGCAAGACACGCAAAUCUACGCCUAUCUACUAAAAAACAUGAUGGACCAAUCGCAAACACAGGGAGACCCUUAUCAGACGGUUUAAAAGAUUGACAGAGGCAUGGUCUACCUUGCUGAUAAAAUGAAAUAAAGAUAUGUCAUUGUAGCUUUUUUCACUUAACA
This is a long non-coding RNA of Magallana angulata, 5607 nucleotides long. RefSeq lists it as uncharacterized. NCBI's taxonomy places the organism in Eukaryota, Metazoa, Mollusca, Bivalvia, Ostreida, Ostreidae. The record is from RefSeq and is a predicted model, not a curated record. The transcript is spliced from 4 exons.